This 503-nucleotide non-coding RNA is filed under the name Pongo abelii (Sumatran orangutan). Lineage: Eukaryota; Metazoa; Chordata; Mammalia; Primates; Hominidae. The record is from RNAcentral.
ACUGCAAAAAAAGAUGUUUGACAGCUGGUGAGGAAUGGAAGACUUAGAUGGGAGGUUCAGUUACUAGACAGCAGAGCUGAACUUAGAGCUGAAAAUGUAAAUGAAUGGAGUCAAUCAACACUGGGCUUUAGCCAAUUGUUUCCAUGUGUAAAUCUGGGUCUGAAGAUUUUCAGUGGAAGUCAGAAAUAUGGAUUUUUAUGUAAAACAUCAAGAUUUUUUUUUCUUUUCCACAGCCACUGACUUAUAACUCAUGUAAGCUGUUUCUCAAAUAUCUGCCCAGUGGUGCUGGCGAGAGCCCGAUGAAAAUGCACAGAGUGACACAACCUGGCCACCACUACCAGAAGUAAACAGCUCAGUGAUUCUCGUCUAUUCUCUCACAGCUACACACCAAUGAAAACAAACACCCGAAACCGUCUUCUGUGGCAUUGCAUUUGUCCAGUUGAAAAAGAACACCUUAGACUUAACUUUUAAAAUGUCUGUAAUAAAAAUAUAAUUCCAUUUUC